RNAcentral lists this unclassified non-coding RNA (242 nucleotides) under plant metagenome. RNAcentral's name for it is "partial contains small subunit ribosomal RNA, internal transcribed spacer 1, and 5.8S ribosomal RNA". The stretch from base 1 to 54 matches the Rfam family "Eukaryotic small subunit ribosomal RNA", at positions 1778 to 1831 of the family's 1831-position model. The record is from RNAcentral.
AGAAGUAAAAGUCGUAACAAGGUUUCCGUAGGUGAACCUGCGGAAGGAUCAUUACAGAGUUCAUGCCCUCACGGGUAGAUCUCCCACCCUUGAAUAUUUAUACCUUAGUUGCUUUGGCUGGCCGUGGAAACACCAUGGGCUCCGGCUUAUGCGUGCCUGCCAGAGGAAACAAACUCUGUUUUUAGUGAUGUCUGAGUACUAUAUAAUAGUUAAAACUUUCAACAACGGAUCUCUUGGUUCUG